Molecule: ribosomal RNA, 492 nt
Filed under: uncultured bacterium
Lineage: Bacteria
Description: partial 16S ribosomal RNA
Rfam family: Bacterial small subunit ribosomal RNA
Source: RNAcentral
AGUGAACGCUGGCGGUAGGCCUAACACAUGCAAGUCGAACGGCAGCACCGUAAGAGCUUGCUCUUACGGGUGGCGAGUGGCGGACGGGUGAGGAAUACAUCGGAAUCUACUUUUUCGUGGGGGAUAACGUAGGGAAACUUACGCUAAUACCGCAUACGACCUACGGGUGAAAGCAGGGGAUCUUCGGACCUUGCGCGAUUGAAUGAGCCGCUGUCGGAUUAGCUAGUUGGCGGGGUAAAGGCCCACCAAGGCGACGAUCCGUAGCUGGUCUGAGAGGAUGAUCAGCCACACUGGAACUGAGACACGGUCCAGACUCCUACGGGAGGCAGCAGUGGGGAAUAUUGGACGAUGGGCGCAAGCCUGAUCCAGCCAUACCGCGUGGGUGAAGAAGGCCUUCGGGUUGUAAAGCCCUUUUGUUGGGAAAGAAAAGCAGCAGGUUAAUACCCCGCUGUUCUGACGGUACCCAAGGAAUAAGCACCGGCUAACUUCGUG